This 324-nucleotide ribosomal RNA is filed under the name uncultured eukaryote. Its description in RNAcentral is "partial 18S ribosomal RNA". It matches the Rfam family "Eukaryotic small subunit ribosomal RNA", at positions 1470 to 1796 of the family's 1831-position model. The record is from RNAcentral.
CCCUUAGAUGUUCUGGGCCGCACGCGCGCUACACUGAUGCAUUCAACGAGUUUCUUCCUGGUCCGAGAGGAAUGGGUAACCUUUUGAAAGUGCAUCGUGAUAGGGAUAGACUAUUGCAAUUAUUGGUCUUCAACGAGGAAUUCCUAGUAGACGUAGUUCAUCAGACUGCAUCGAUUACGUCCCUGCCCUUUGUACACACCGCCCGUCGCUCCUACCGAUUGAAUGCUCAGGUGAGCCAUUCGGACUUUCAUCAUGCUGGUUUCCAGAUUUGAUGAAGGAAAGUCUUGCGAACCUUAUCAUUUAGAGGAAGGAGAAGUCGUAACA